RNAcentral lists this long non-coding RNA (199 nucleotides) under Lathyrus oleraceus (garden pea). RNAcentral describes it as "Pisum sativum (pea) long non-coding RNA (PSAT_LNC037289)". The record is from RNAcentral. Lineage: Eukaryota; Viridiplantae; Streptophyta; Magnoliopsida; Fabales; Fabaceae.
UUGAAUGAUGUAUCAGAUGAAGUUUCAAAUUGCAAGCACUUGGUUCUUCAAUAAGUUGGCAUUGACCAAGUCCUUUAGCAUAAGAAUGUUGCCUAAGUUCUAAGUCCAAUUGUCCAAGAUCAAGCCAACAGUCCAUACAAUUGUUUUAGGGUUUUUGUUGUUAUUAUGUAUAUUAAUGGUCAAAGACCACACAAACAAG